This 495-nucleotide ribosomal RNA is filed under the name uncultured bacterium. RNAcentral describes it as "partial 16S ribosomal RNA". It matches the Rfam family "Bacterial small subunit ribosomal RNA", at positions 28 to 507 of the family's 1533-position model. The record is from RNAcentral.
GACGAACGCUGGCGGCGUGCCUAAUACACGCAAGUAGAACGCUGAAGGAGGAGCUUGCUUCUCUGGAUGAGUUGCGAACGGGUGAGUAACGCGUAGGUAACCUGCCUGGUAGCGGGGGAUAACUAUUGGAAACGAUAGCUAAUACCGCAUAAUAGUAGAUGUUGCAUGACAUUUGCUUAAAAGGUGCAAUUGCAUCACUACCAGAUGGACCUGCGUUGUAUUAGCUAGUUGGUGGGGUAACGGCUCACCAAGGCGACGAUACAUAGCCGACCUGAGGGGGUGAUCGGCCACACUGGGACUGAGACACGGCCCAGACUCCUACGGGAGGCAGCAGUAGGGAAUCUUCGGCAAUGGACGGAAGUCUGACCGAGCAACGCCGCGUGAGUGAAGAAGGUUUUCGGAUCGUAAAGCUCUGUUGUAAGAGAAGAACGAGUGUGAGAGUGGAAAGUUCACACUGUGACGGUAUCUUACCAGAAAGGGACGGCUAACUACGUG